UCGGGAAUAUUGCGCAAUGGAGGAAACUCUGACGCAGUGACGCCGCGUGCAGGAAGAAGGUUUUCGGAUUGUAAACUGCUUUAGACAGGGAAGAUACAAGACAGUACCUGUAGAAUAAGCUCCGGCUAACUACGUGCCAGCAGCCGCGGUAAUACGUAGGGAGCAAGCGUUAUCCGGAUUUAUUGGGUGUAAAGGGUGCGUAGACGGGAAAACAAGUUAGUUGUGAAAUCCCUCGGCUUAACUGAGGAACUGCAACUAAAACUAUUUUUCUUGAGUGCUGGAGAGGAAAGUGGAAUUUCUAGUGUAGCGGUGAAAUGCGUAGAUAUUAGGAGGAACACCAGUGGCGAAGGCGACUUUCUGGACAGUAACUGACGUUGAGGCACGAAAGUGUGGGGAGCAAACAGG
Molecule: ribosomal RNA, 405 nt
Filed under: Acidobacteriota bacterium
Lineage: Bacteria; Pseudomonadati; Acidobacteriota
Description: Acidobacteria bacterium partial 16S ribosomal RNA
Rfam family: Bacterial small subunit ribosomal RNA
Source: RNAcentral